GAUGAACGCUGGCGGCGUGCUUAACACAUGCAAGUCGAACGGAAAGGCCCUGAUCUUGUGGGGUGCUCGAGUGGCGAACGGGUGAGUAAAACGCGAGUAACCUGUACUUGACUUUGGGAUAACUUUAGGAAACUGGGGCUAAUACCGGAUAGGAGAUCCUGAUGCACGGUGGGGGAUGGAAAGUUUCGGCGGUUGGGGAUAGAAUCGAGGGUUAUCAGCUUGUUGGUGGGGUAGUGGAUUACCAAGGCUUUGAAGGGUAGCCGGCCUGAGAGGGUGACCGGCCACAUGGGGACUGAGAUACGGCCCAGUCUCCAACCGGCGGCAGCAGUGGAGAAUAUUGCACAAUAGGCGGAAGCCAGUUGCAGCAACGCCGCGUGCGGGAUGACGUCCUUCUGGUUGUGAACCUCUUUCGCCGGUGAUGAAGCGUGAGUGACGGUAAUUGGUAAGGAAGCACCGGCUAACUACGUG
This 468-nucleotide ribosomal RNA is filed under the name uncultured bacterium. Its description in RNAcentral is "partial 16S ribosomal RNA". It matches the Rfam family "Bacterial small subunit ribosomal RNA", at positions 28 to 507 of the family's 1533-position model. The record is from RNAcentral.